CUGCUCACUUCGGCAGCACAUAUACUCAAAUUGUGAAUGGCGCCGAGGAGAUUAGCACGGCCCUGGCGCAAGGAUGACACGCAAACUCCUCAGAGGGAAAGCUGUCUC
Molecule: small nuclear RNA, 108 nt
Organism: Eptesicus fuscus (big brown bat)
Lineage: Eukaryota; Metazoa; Chordata; Mammalia; Chiroptera; Vespertilionidae
Source: RefSeq, a predicted model, not a curated record